AGAUUAAGUUAUUAAGGGCGCACGGUGGAUGCCUUGGCACUAGAAGCCGAUGAAGGACGUUACUAACGACGAUAUGCUUUGGGGAGCUGUAAGUAAGCUUUGAUCCAGAGAUUUCCGAAUGGGGAAACCCAGCAUGAGUUAUGUCAUGUUAUCGAUAUGUGAAUACAUAGCAUAUCAGAAGGCACACACGGGGGACUGAAACAUCUUAGUACCCG
This 215-nucleotide ribosomal RNA is filed under the name Staphylococcus aureus. Its description in RNAcentral is "partial 23S ribosomal RNA". It matches the Rfam family "Bacterial large subunit ribosomal RNA", at positions 1 to 212 of the family's 2925-position model. The record is from RNAcentral. Lineage: Bacteria; Bacillati; Bacillota; Bacilli; Caryophanales; Staphylococcaceae.